RNAcentral lists this long non-coding RNA (1323 nucleotides) under Equus caballus (horse). RNAcentral describes it as "lncRNA (ENSECAG00000039425.3)". Lineage: Eukaryota; Metazoa; Chordata; Mammalia; Perissodactyla; Equidae. The record is from RNAcentral.
ACUGGCGGUCAUCUCUGUGUCUCUGCCUGUCUCUAUCAUGUUAUAUUUUCUUCUUGGAGUUAGAGAUUCUUUUGUUUUUUUCUCUCACCUCCUUCUGUGUUCCCUUCCUCCUUGCCCACUCUCCUGGUCCUUUCCAUUCAUCAUUCACUCUUCUGUCAAUCCAUCCACAAACAUCUAUUCCUUGCAAACAUCUAUUCCUUGUUUUAGAGAAAACAGAAAGCUGGCUGUGUGCCAGUCAAUAUGACAGGCACUUUAUAAGGUCUUUAUGAAUACUUCUUUGCCAUUUCUUUUCAACAGGCAAGUUGGGUAUCUAGGCUUCCUAUUGAUUCUCAAUGGAAUCGGACACAAAAACAAGUUACAAUGAUCCAGAGACAAAACAGCAUCAGUAACACAGCACAUCUUCCAGUGAUUGCUGUACUCAUCUCAACUCUUCAGAUAAGCAGAGCUACGGCACUUUCCUGGAGAGAACACGCCUCCACUUCCCUCUUGACCCCUCAGGUCCUAUCCAGCCUCAGUAUACAAGGGACGGAUAUAGUUUGUGAUCCAGGACCCACCGGAGCCGGCAGGGGGGUGGCUGCUGGAGAAGAGGGUGGAAGGGCCUCCGUGAGGGCUGCACUGCAGUGUACGGGCAGGAAUGUGCCGGGGCCGACAUGCUGCCCUCUGACGGCUGCUGUGGCUCAGGGGAGAUUAGAAGAAUGUCUGGGACCUCGUCGUAGGGACGUUGGUAGCACAGAUGACAGACAGGCAAGAAAGGCAGUAUUGCUUCCUGCGUGAGUCCUCCUGCCCUAAUCAACUGGAAUCCUCAUCAUCUGUUCACCAGCAGCUCAGAUGUGUGAGACGUGGUGAGAGUCCUCACGUGUCCACAGUCCAACGACAUCAAAGAGCUCCAUGUCCGAACUGCGCCCAUCCCAAUCCCUAGAAAUUGAAGUACUAUUUUAUUGUUUUCUUUGAUGCCUAUUUCUCUUGAACAUCUCUGAAAUCUGCGUUCUGGUUUAAAUGAGUUGGUAGUUCUUGGGAAGCCAUUUGAAUUCCACGUCCUAGUUAUGUUUUACCCAACCAAUUAUGUUACGUGUAGUGUCACACAUGAUCGCCUCUGUUCUGUGAGAAUGUAAGAAAAGUGGAGAUGAAGGUAGAUGAAAGAUGGAAAAAGAACAUCUGAAUAAUGAUCUAGUGAUCAAUAUACAGUUCUCCAAAAACUUGGUCUGAACUCACUUAAUUUCUGUCCCUGUAGAUGCAUCACUAAAAAGAAUGCUUUCCUUUAAAAAUGAAAAUAUUAAAAAAAGUAUAUAAAAGUACAGAAAGAGAUUUAAAACAAUAAAAAAU